CCUACGGGAGGCUGCAGUGGGGGAUAUUGCACAAUGGGGGGAACCCUGAUGCAGCGAAGCCGCGUGGGUGAAGAAGGGCCUCGGCGCGUAAAGCCCUGUCAGCAGGGAAGAAAAUGACGGUACCUGAAGAAGAAGCCCCGGCUAACUACGUGCCAGCAGCCGCGGUAAUACGUAGGGGGCAAGCGUUAUCCGGAUUUACUGGGUGUAAAGGGGGCGCAGGCGGCGUUGCAAGCCAGGAGUGAACGCCCGGGGCCCAACCCCGGGACUGCUCUUGGAACUGCGUGGCUUGAGUGCAGGAGAGGCAGGCGGAAUUCCUGGUGUAGCGGUGAAAUGCGUAGAUAUCAGGAAGAACACCGAUUGCGAAGGCAGCCUGCUGGACUGCAACUGACGUUGAGGCCCGAAAGCGUGGGGAGCAAACAGGAUUAGAUACCCUUGUAGUC
This 440-nucleotide ribosomal RNA is filed under the name uncultured bacterium. RNAcentral's name for it is "partial 16S ribosomal RNA". It matches the Rfam family "Bacterial small subunit ribosomal RNA", at positions 338 to 795 of the family's 1533-position model. The record is from RNAcentral.